GACGAACGCUGGCGGCGUGCUUAACACAUGCAAGUCGUACGGUAAGGCCCUUUCGGGGGUACACGAGUGGCGAACGGGUGAGUAACACGUGAGUAACCUGCCCACAACUUUGGGAUAACGCUAGGAAACUGGUGCUAAUACUGGAUAUGUGCCCCUGCUGCAUGGUGGGGGUUGGAAAGCUCCGGCGGUUGUGGAUGGACUCGCGGCCUAUCAGCUUGUUGGUGGGGUAGUGGCCUACCAAGGCGGCGACGGGUAGCCGGCCUGAGAGGGUGACCGGCCACAUUGGGACUGAGAUACGGCCCAGACUCCUACGGGAGGCAGCAGUGGGGAAUAUUGCACAAUGGGCGCAAGCCUGAUGCAGCAACGCCGCGUGCAGGAUGACGGCCUUCGGGUUGUAAACCGCUUUCAGCAGGAACGAAGCUUUUUGUGACGGUACCUGCAGAAGAAGCACCGGCUAACUACGUG
This 465-nucleotide ribosomal RNA is filed under the name uncultured bacterium. Its description in RNAcentral is "partial 16S ribosomal RNA". It matches the Rfam family "Bacterial small subunit ribosomal RNA", at positions 28 to 507 of the family's 1533-position model. The record is from RNAcentral.